CAUUAAGCACUCCGCGGGGGGAGUACGGCCGCAAGGGUGAAACUCAAAAGAAUUGACGGGGGCCCGCACAAGCGGUGGAGCAUGUGGUUUAAUUCGACGCAACGCGAAGAACCUUACCAGGUCUUGACAUCCUCUGCAAUCGGUAGAGAUACCGAGUUCCCUUCGGGGACAGAGUGACAGGUGGUGCAUGGUUGUCGUCAGCUCGUGUCGUGAGAUGUUGGGUUAAGUCCCGCAACGAGCGCAACCCUUGAUCUUAGUUGCCAGCAUUUAGUUGGGCACUCUAAGGUGACUGCCGGUGACAAACCGGAGGAAGGUGGGGAUGACGUCAAAUCAUCAUGCCCCUUAUGACCUGGGCUACACACGUGCUACAAUGGAUGGAACAAAGGGAAGCAAAACCGCGAGGUCAAGCAAAUCCCAUAAAACCAUUCUCAGUUCGGAUUGCAGGCUGCAACUCGCCUGCAUGAAGCCGGAAUCGCUAGUAAUCGCGGAUCAGCAUGCCGCGGUGAAUACGUUCCCGGGCCUUGUACACACCGCCCGUCACACCACGAGAGUUGGUAACACCCGAAGUCGGUGAGGUAACCUUUGGAGCCAGCCGCCGAA
This 600-nucleotide ribosomal RNA is filed under the name Virgibacillus halodenitrificans. RNAcentral's name for it is "bacterial SSU rRNA". It matches the Rfam family "Bacterial small subunit ribosomal RNA", at positions 858 to 1460 of the family's 1533-position model. Lineage: Bacteria; Bacillati; Bacillota; Bacilli; Caryophanales; Bacillaceae. The record is from RNAcentral.